AAAAAUGAUGUAGGUUACUUAAUCAGUUCAUCUCUUUCUCUUUCUUAACUCUUCACUUCCCCCUUUAUAUUUAAUGCACAAUUGCACACUAACGUGUUUCUUUUGAAAUCAAUAUCUAUAUCUAUCUACAACCUUUACAACUUGCUGGACACUGAGGAAAAUGAAUCGGUGUAACACUUCUUUGGAGAAUAACCAAAAUCCUAUUAGAUACCUCUGCCCUUUCUUCCUCCAUUGAUGCCAAUUUGCUUCAAGUGUUAUAUCUCCUUCUUAGAGCUAUGCUUCAAAUCCUAAAUUGAAUCGUAAGGCAACAAUCAAUGUAGAAGCGGCGAUCUAUUUUUCAUGUGCUCACAUUGUAAAUUGCAGCAACACAUAGAUGAAGCAUUUCUUGAAAAGCCAAAUGAAGAGUAUAGUGCUUGGAUUCUUGACUCAUAGAAGUGGGGAUGUUUGAGAGACUUUUGGUUCUUGAUUGGGGACACGCCUUCGAUUUCCAAAAAAGGGAGAUAUUAAUCUUUUCAUUCUUGAUCAAUUUUGAAUGUUAUUCGGAUGUAGUUAAGCAUCAGGGGAGUAGACCUCAUUUUAGUUCAUGUGGUUCUUAAUGAACUUAGUGUAAGACAAUGAGUUACAAGGUCUAUGUUUAGAUGUGCUGAAGAAGAAAUCUAUGCGAUCUUCCUUAGUAGAUGGAGCAUUCAAACAAUGACGCCAUAAUACUUUAAAGAUUGAAAAUUCCAUUCCUAUUUUCUAGCUAGAAGAGACUUUGCCUUUUUAAUUAAUAAUAACGUAUAGUUUUAAGGCAUG
Molecule: long non-coding RNA, 795 nt
Organism: Quercus lobata
Lineage: Eukaryota; Viridiplantae; Streptophyta; Magnoliopsida; Fagales; Fagaceae
Exons: 4
Source: RefSeq, a predicted model, not a curated record